UAAAAAUAUUGAUCACAAACACAUCACAAACAUGAUGAUGAUAUUGAUCCAGUCCCUGUUGGAGUCAGUGGGAGCAUUUCCAUAGAGCCACUUUGCAUCAGCAGCUCCAUGCUCCAGUGCUCUGGGAGAGUUUAUAGUCCUGAGAGCUGAACACUGGAGGACUGACAGCUGUCCUUCAUCACAACACAAGACACAGAAAUCCUCCUCAUCAGCAACAUGACUCUGAUCUCCGUCCUCAUCUGGACUCUCCUCUGCUGCUGCUUCACAGAGUCCAGAGGUCAGGUCACAGUGACUCAGCCUGGAGCAGUGAGAACCACACUGGGAGGAAGAGUCAACAUCAGCUGUAGAACCAUUCAUAGGGUAGUUGAUGGUGAUGACAUUUCUUGGUACCAACAAAAAAUGGAGGAGUUCCCAAAGACCAGUGUUGAUCAGUGUGUGUCCAGGUCUUUCAGCGGCAGCACCAUGAUGAUGUCUCUGACUCUACUGCUGGCCACCCUGGGGCUCCUUGUUCAGGGUUCAUCAGGUCAAAUCACUGUGACUCAAACUCCUGGAGCUUUGUCUGUUGCUGCAGAACAGACUGUUACUAUCAAAUGUAAAGUUAGUCCCAGUACUAGUUACUGUUUCAGCUGGUACCUUCAGAAACCAGGAGAAGCUCCUAAACUCCUCAUCUACUGCUCUUCAACCCGUCAGUCUGGAGUCUCUGACAGAUUCAAUGGAGCAAAGUCAGGAAACACUGACUUCACUCUGACCAUCAGCAGAGUCCAGGCUGAAGAUGCAGGAGAAUAUUACUGUCAGAGUUUUCAUUACAUCAACAGUCAGUGGGUGUUGACACAGUGA
This is a non-coding RNA of Betta splendens (Siamese fighting fish), 837 nucleotides long. The record is from the annotation of a RefSeq genome assembly. Lineage: Eukaryota; Metazoa; Chordata; Actinopteri; Anabantiformes; Osphronemidae.